GCGUAAUACCGGAUAAUUCUUUUCUACACAUGUAGAAAAGUCGAAAGAUGGUUUCGGCUAUCACUCAUAGAUGGGCCCGCGGCGCAUUAGCUAGUUGGUGAGGUAACGGCUCACCAAGGCGACGAUGCGUAGCCGACCUGAGAGGGUGAUCGGCCACACUGGGACUGAGACACGGCCCAG
RNAcentral lists this ribosomal RNA (180 nucleotides) under uncultured Bacillus sp. RNAcentral's name for it is "partial 16S ribosomal RNA". It matches the Rfam family "Bacterial small subunit ribosomal RNA", at positions 161 to 334 of the family's 1533-position model. Lineage: Bacteria; Bacillati; Bacillota; Bacilli; Caryophanales; Bacillaceae. The record is from RNAcentral.